UACACGACCGUACCGCAAACCGACACUGGUGCGCGAGAUGAGUAUUCUAAGGCGCUUGAGAGAACUCAGGAGAAGGAACUCGGCAAAUUGACACCGUAACUUCGGAAGAAGGUGUGCCUUUAGUAGGUGAACCAUUUACUUGGGGAGCCCAAUGAGGCUGCAAAAAAUCGGUGGCUGCAACUGUUUAUUAAAAACGCAGCACUCUGCUAAGACGAAAGUCGACGUAUAGGGUGUGACGCCUGCCCGGUGCUGGAAGAUUAAAUGAUGGGGUGCAAGCUCUUGAUUGAAGUCCCAGUAAACGGCGGCCGUAACAAUAACGGUCCUAAGGUAGCGAAAUUCCUUGUCGGGUAAGUUCCGACCUGCACGAAUGGCGUAAUGAUGGCCACACUGUCUCCUCCUGAGACUCAGCGAAGUUGAAAUGUUUGUGAUGAUGCAAUCUCCCCGCGGAAAGACGGAAAGACCCCAUGAACCUUUACUGUAGCUUUGUAUUGGACUUUGAACAGAUCUGUGUAGGAUAGGUGGGAGGCUUUGAAGUGUGGUCGCUAGAUCGCAUGGAGCCAACGUUGAAAUACCACCCUGGUGUGUUUGAGGUUCUAACCUAGGUCCAUUAUCUGGAUCGGGGACAGUGCAUGGUAGGCAGUUUGACUGGGGCGGUCUCCUCCCAAAGUGUAACGGAGGAGUUCGAAGGUACGCUAGGUACGGUCGGACAUCGUGCUAAUAGUGCAAUGGCAUAAGCGUGCUUAACUGCGAGACUGACAAGUCGAGCAGAUGCGAAAGCAGGACAUAGUGAUCCGGUGGUUCUGUAUGGAAGGGCCAUCGCUCAACGGAUAAAAGGUACUCUGGGGAUAACAGGCUGAUACCGCCCAAGAGUUCAUAUCGACGGCGGUGUUUGGCACCUCGAUGUCGGCUCAUCUCAUCCUGGGGCUGUAGCCGGUCCCAAGGGUAUGGCUGUUCGCCAUUUAAAGAGGUACGUGAGCUGGGUUUAAAACGUCGUGAGACAGUUUGGUCCCUAUCUUCCGUGGGCGCUGCAGAUUUGAGGAAGCCUGCUCCUAGUACGAGAGGACCGGAGUGGACGAACCUCUGGUGUAUCGGUUGUCACGCCAGUGGCAUUGCCGAGUAGCUAAGUUCGGAAGAGAUAACCGCUGAAAGCAUCUAAGCGGGAAACUCGUUUCAAGAUUAGAUCUGCCGGGGCCUUGAGCCCCCUAAAGAGUCGUUCAAGACCAGGACGUUGAUAGGUCAGGUGUGGAAGC
This 1250-nucleotide ribosomal RNA is filed under the name metagenome. RNAcentral's name for it is "bacterial LSU rRNA". It matches the Rfam family "Bacterial large subunit ribosomal RNA", at positions 1635 to 2874 of the family's 2925-position model. The record is from RNAcentral.